This 659-nucleotide ribosomal RNA is filed under the name Panonychus ulmi (European red spider mite). RNAcentral describes it as "12S ribosomal RNA". The record is from RNAcentral. Lineage: Eukaryota; Metazoa; Arthropoda; Arachnida; Trombidiformes; Tetranychidae.
AAUUUUUAACUAUAAUUAAUAUAUAAAUAAAUUUUAUAUAUUCAUUUAAUAAAUUUAAUUAAUAAAUUUAAUUAAUAAAUUUAAUUAAUAAUAUAUUUUUAUAUAGCGUGCCAGCAAAAGCGGUUAUACGAUUAAUUAAAAUUAAAAAAUUAUUUAAAUUUAAAUAAAUUUAUUUAAUUAAUUAAAUUUAAUGUAGAAAUUAUUUAUUAUAAAUAUUAAAUUAAAUUAAUUAAUAGAAUAAUAUAUAUUAAAAUGGAUUAGAUACCCAUGUAAAAAAAUUUUUUAGUACUAAUUUUUUUUAAUUAAACUAUAUAAAUUUUUGGCGGUAGAAUAAUUAAUUAAAGGGGCUUGAUUAAUAAUAGAAAGUACUCAAUAAAAUUAAUUUUAUUUAUUAAUUUAUUUAUCUCCGUAUAAAAAUAUAUAAUUCAUUUAUAUAUUAAAUUAAUAUAUUAAUACAGGUCAAAAUUUAAUUAAAAAUAAAAAUAAUUUAGCCACAUAAAAAUAUUAUAAAAUUAAAUAUAAUAAGAAUUUAAAAGUAAAAUUUAUUUAUUAAAAAAUAUAUUGAAAAAAAAAUUUUAUGUACAUAUUGCCCAUCACUUUCAUUUAUUAAAUGAAAUAAGUUGAAACAUAGUAAAAGUAUAAGAAUAUGCUUUUAAAAA